This 279-nucleotide ribosomal RNA is filed under the name uncultured bacterium. RNAcentral's name for it is "partial 16S ribosomal RNA". It matches the Rfam family "Bacterial small subunit ribosomal RNA", at positions 506 to 784 of the family's 1533-position model. The record is from RNAcentral.
UGCCAGCAGCCGCGGUAAUACGGAGGGGGCAAACGUUAUUCGGAUUUACUGGGCGUAAAGGGUUCGUAGGCGGUUUUUUAAGUUAGAUGUGAAAGCUUGAAGCUUAACUUCAAAAUAGCAUCUAAAACUGAAUUACUAGAUUCUUGGAGAGGUAGAUGGAAUUACCGGUGUAGCGGUGAAAUGCGUAGAUAUCGGUAGGAACACCAGUGGCGAAAGCGAUCUACUGGACAAGUAAUGACGCUGAGGGACGAAAGCGUGGGUAGCAAACAGGAUUAGAUA